UGCGCAUGCUGUUGAUCACUGGAUUGUCUGAUCUAGACUCGAUUAUUUACAGACCACUGCCAUAUAGUUGGAAUAUUGCUGAGUGCGGUGUAAAACUAAAUUCACCCAUUCACAGUUAUAAUUUGUUCAUAAACACACACAUAAAAAUAAAUU
Haliotis rubra (blacklip abalone) is the source of this 153-nucleotide long non-coding RNA. RefSeq lists it as uncharacterized. The transcript has 2 exons. Lineage: Eukaryota; Metazoa; Mollusca; Gastropoda; Lepetellida; Haliotidae. The record is from RefSeq and is a predicted model, not a curated record.